Molecule: ribosomal RNA, 497 nt
Filed under: uncultured bacterium
Lineage: Bacteria
Description: partial 16S ribosomal RNA
Rfam family: Bacterial small subunit ribosomal RNA
Source: RNAcentral
GAUGAACGCUGGCGGCGUGCCUAAUACAUGCAAGUCGAGCGAACAGACGAGGAGCUUGCUCCUCUGACGUUAGCGGCGGACGGGUGAGUAACACGUGGAUAACCUACCUAUAAGACUGGGAUAACUUCGGGAAACCGGAGCUAAUACCGGAUAACAUGUUGAACCGCAUGGUUCAACAGUGAAAGACGGUCUUGCUGUCACUUAUAGAUGGAUCCGCGCCGCAUUAGCUAGUUGGUAAGGUAACGGCUUACCAAGGCAACGAUGCGUAGCCGACCUGAGAGGGGGAAUGGCCCAACUGGAACUGAGAAAAGGUCCAGACCCCUAAGGGAGGCAGCAGUAGGGAAACUUCCGCCAUGGGGGAAAGCCUGACGGAGCAACGCCGGGGGAGGGAAGAAGGUCUUCGGAUCGUAAAACUCUGUUAUUAGGGAAGAACAAAUGUGUAAGUAACUAUGCACGUCUUGACGGUACCUAAUCAGAAAGCCACGGCUAACUACGUG